Long non-coding RNA from Stegastes partitus (bicolor damselfish), 627 nucleotides. RefSeq lists it as uncharacterized. The transcript is spliced from 2 exons. The record is from RefSeq and is a predicted model, not a curated record. NCBI's taxonomy places the organism in Eukaryota, Metazoa, Chordata, Actinopteri, Pomacentridae.
UGAUAUUAUUCUACAAUAUCCAGCGUGUGUGUAAAAAGUAACUGUGUAAAUGAAUAAACAAUUCCAUUUCAGUUAAAUGUUGUUAAAACAUAAUUAUAAUAUAAUAUAUAUACCCGUAUUGCACUUGGGUAGAAUGUGUUGGUGAGUCUGGAUGUGCGGGCCUUGAUGGACCGGUACCUCUUUCCUGAGGGCAACAGUGAGAAAAGGCUGUGCCCAGGGUGUGAACUAUCGAAGAUGACGCUUCUUAAACAGUUAUUCUGUAACUAAAUACAGCACUCUGCAGUACAACAUGAGAUUUACUGGUAAAUACUGUGUAGACUUUCCAAUAAUAAACUGUAUUUUUAUAAUGUUGCCACUGUAUUCAGUAUUUACCUUAACUUAACCUCUUGUCGUGGCAAAAAUGUACUUCUACAUAUGAGGGUAAAGGAAGUCAGCGUACAGGAAAUUUGACCAGCUUUUGUUCAGGAGGAGUGUGACGCUGUAAACUAAAUACAUUCUGUUCUUCUCUUCUGCUUCAGGAGGCUGAAUUUCUCAGGGAUUUCAGUUUCUGAAGCAGCUUUGUAAUUUCCUUUUAGUGUCAAAGAUCCUGUGUUGAAAACAAAAUAAACAUUUUGUGUGCCUUCUGAA